CUCUGGGAUGGGAGGGAAAGGCGGUCUCAGUUCAGGAUCCUCUCCUCAGCAGGCAGGGAGUCUGAGUGGCAGAGCCGUGUGUCUUUCAGAGAGAGCCGCACUGAUGCUACCCGGCACUAUGUCCUGCCCAGCUGUGGCAUGUGAGAAACCAUAGUUGAAUCAGGAGAGGUGGGCUUUUUUUUCAUUUUCUUUUUCCUUUCGCUCUUCCAUGUGGAUGGGAAGCCCUUUUUUUGGUGAAGCCAAGGAAGGAGGAAGACAGACAGAGACAGAGUGGGGGAACUACUGGCCACCGCCACCACUACCCCCCCAGCUCAGAGAGACAAGGAAAAACGGAGGCCGCUGGAGUAUUCGUGUUUUUUUUUCGUUUUGUGUUCUUCUUCUUCCUCAUCGUGGUGUUGGGAGGUGCUUUGUCUUUUCAUUUGCUCGCUCUCUCCGUUCUCUGCCUUGUCAUCUACUUCUCCAUUUACCUCGUCUACAAUUUCUUGUUUUUAUGAGCAACAGACAGGAGGGAAAGAGAGGGGGAUAUUUCUUCUACGUUCUCUCCCCUUUUUAUUUCCCUCAUCCACCCCUUCCCCCUCCAUCAUCCCCGUCCCUCCUGGUUUCUCUUGUCCCCUCCUGUGCAACCUCUCUUCUCCAUCACCAGCUCUCACUGCAUCUGUCACCUCCUCCACCCACCAACUUUUACUGCUUUUAAAUCCACCAGUGGGAUAACAGCACUGAAUCCUUUUUUUCCUAUGAACAACAGAAACCACCAACUCAGUGAUUGUUUUCUAUUUUCUCACCUUUUUUCCCUCUUCUUUUCCCCUUUUUUUCUUCUUUUUCUCUCCCUCUCAUCUUUUGCAUCUCUAAUUUGGGGGACUCUUUAUUGUAUUUAUAGGUAGGUUAUUCAGUGUUCUGUGUCUGUCUCUCGGACUGUGUGUGUCUGCCUGUCGGCGUGUGUGUGUGUGUGUGUGUGUGUGUGUGUGUGCGCGUGUGUGUAUAUCCCUACAUGUGUGUGUGUAUGUGUGUGUGUGUUUUCUGCAUAUAUGACACAUGAUCACACAUGCUCUGAACUACUGAACAGAAAAGGGAGGGCUCCAUUUGAAACCUGUUCAUUUGAUGGUUCUCUCCUAUCACCUCACCUUUUUUAUAUUCCACUUAUCCUCCAACAUCUAUGUCUCGAUUGAGCCAUUGUAAACACCUCCUUUGCCUCUGUAGCACCAUCAAAACAGCCACAAACCGUGUCCUCCCUGCACCUCCUUUUCAUGUCAGAGAGGCAUUUUAAUGAGUGAGUCAUUUUUUUGUCCCUCUGUCUGUGCUAUCGUUGUUGUAUCCAAAGUUUAGCUUUGCCUUGUCUGCCAGCUGCCUUUGUCAUUUCAAGCAUAUAUGCUAUGAUAUCCUUUAUGAGAAUCCCGAAAAAUAACACAUUUGAAAUGUCUGGGGAAUAAAUGAAGUAGCCAACUGAUGAAAAACAAUUCCAAUCUGCAGCACUGAAAACGGAAGUGGUGUAGUCUGGCAAUGCCUGUGAAACAUAGCCAAUAGCACAGUUUCAAAUGCAAAUUUCUUGCAUAGCCCAUCUUCAUUCCACUGGUCGAUCACCUGUCUGUGCAUACAUCUCUCUCUCUCUCCCUCUCUCUCUCUCUCUCUCUCUGUUCUCUCACCCUCAAACACACUCAAGCACCCAAAUAGAACAAACUAAAACGCUUACCACAAUUCUCUUACCUUUCAGAGGAUUAAAAAAAGAUUUCUCCCCACUCACUGUCCUCCUCUCAUCUGCACCCUGCCUGUUUUUCGAACCUCCCUGUGAAAUCUCAUUCAUCCAUUGAUUUAUUUCACUUUCCUCCAUCCACGUUUUCCACUUACCAUUUGACAAUUAUUCAUGCUUCUCGCUGAUUUCUCCGAGUGGAACCCUGAUCAUUUCACAAUUAAUUGUAAGGUGAAAUGAAAGCUGGAGCCGUUAUCUGCAGGGCCAUGUUUGCUUUCAAAGGUUCUGAUCUUAAUUAUUCUUGUUAGAAUUUCUUGCUUAAUUUUAAGAGUGGCAUGGCAUGGUGCAGGUGAAAUAUCUUCUGUAUAAUGUUCAGCAAUAUGGAGAUUAAACUGUGGUGAAGUGAGAAUUGUUAGAGCAGGGCAGAAGGUAAUUACAUUUCACACAAACCAAAAAACUUGGACUUGAAAUUUUUAGGCGUGUGUGGCCGUGUGUGUAUGUAUGCGUGUGUGUGUUUCAUACAUAGCAAUAGUCCGAUACAAAGCAACGUAGAGCAAGUCUCAAAUUCAUGCUUUCACCUCCAUCUCUGUCCACAUUGCCCUUUUAUCUUGAAGGAGAAUUUUAUGCAUCUCCACACUGUCUGAAGACUGGCAGAAGAGCUUUUUGAAUGAAUUGUGGUGUGGUGCGUGGAGGAUAAAAUUGGAUUUAGUUUUUUUUCCCUUGAGGAAUUACUCUUUGUAUGGGGGAUUGAACUGAAAUGCUAUAGCUUGUUAAAAAAAUCAACAACAUUGUAAUUUGGGACUUUUUGGUCAUUUCCUAUCGGACUAAACCUGAUUUUAAUACUUUUUCUAAUACUGAAUUUUAAUGGGAUUUUACUACCAAGAAUUAAGGACUCAACACCACUGUCCUUUGACUCUGUUUCAUUUUUGAUUAUUGUAAUACUUUUGUCCCAUCAUCCUGCAAACCUUUAAAACUGCUUUUACUCCAUAAUCAAUUGGGUGAGUACAUCAGUAUUCCAACACUGACCUUCUCUCUGUCAUCACCUUGUUUGUAUGCACAGUGAUCAUUUACAUACGGA
Long non-coding RNA from Clupea harengus (Atlantic herring), 2762 nucleotides. The record is from Ensembl. NCBI's taxonomy places the organism in Eukaryota, Metazoa, Chordata, Actinopteri, Clupeiformes, Clupeidae.